CAAGCGCCACAUGAUAGCUAUUUCAAAUUAGAUAUGGACAUCUCAGGUGUGGAAGGAGCUUCUAUACUAUGAGUUUAGAUUUGCUGUCCACCUAAUGAAUGGUUGACACAUUAUUUUAAAUUAAUAUAUCCAACAUUUUUCUCAUUACUACUUGUGCUUAAAAUUAGGUGACAUUUUAAUAUAAAAUGAUGUGUUAAUCAUUCAUUCGUGGAUAACAAAAUUCAGAUAAUUGAUCUCAACUCCAUACCACGGGUGCUGUCAUUGGGGACAAGUUUGAGGGUGGUUGGGGCGAUUGCAAGCAAAGAAAGUUAUUGGACACACAUAGCUGAAGAUGCUAAAGCAUAGAAAGUUUGGGAUUGCUAUGAUUUUGGCCAGGAAACGUGGCUAUCAAAUUGCUGCUAUGGAAUGUGACUUGUAAGGGUAGUGCAUAGAAACAAAAUUUAUGUAAAUCUUUUUAUUCACUCUAGCAAUCAUGAUAUUUUUUUCCUAGGUUUGUAAUCUUUGUGACUGUAC
This 513-nucleotide long non-coding RNA is filed under the name Olea europaea (common olive). RNAcentral describes it as "long non-coding RNA (OEUR_LNC010039)". The record is from RNAcentral. Lineage: Eukaryota; Viridiplantae; Streptophyta; Magnoliopsida; Lamiales; Oleaceae.